This 543-nucleotide small RNA is filed under the name Pongo abelii (Sumatran orangutan). RNAcentral's name for it is "retained intron". Lineage: Eukaryota; Metazoa; Chordata; Mammalia; Primates; Hominidae. The record is from RNAcentral.
GGGAAGUGGCCGGGUCAGUGCCCAUGUAAGGAAGGCUAUGCAGGAGAAAAAUGUGAUCGCUGCCAACUUGGCUAUAAGGAUUACCCGACCUGUGUCUCCUGUGGGUGCAACCCAGCGGGUAGUGCCAGUGAUGAGCCCUGCACAGGGCCCUGUGUUUGUAAGGAAAACGUUGAGGGGAAGGCCUGUGAUCGCUGCAAGCCAGGAUUCUAUAACUUGAAGGAAAAAAACCCCCGGGGCUGCUCCGAGUGCUUCUGCUUUGGCGUUUCUGAUGUCUGCAGCAGCCUCUCUUGGCCUGUUGGUCAGGUGGGAGGCGCCAUCUGCGAGGCGGGAUUUAACGAGCAGGUCGUAUUGCACAAGCUUGGCACGAGCUGUGUGAGGAGGAAAUGAGGAUGACUUCCCCUGUGACACCACUCUCAUCCCUAUGCAAUGAUACUGACGUGGGUCAAAGGCAGCCGUCUGCCUCUCAAGUUUCUUUGUAGGUCAUUUGCUUACUCCCACACACAUUUCUCUAUAGAAAAAACAGGAUGAUGUGGCACUAGAGAA